RNAcentral lists this ribosomal RNA (115 nucleotides) under Danio rerio (zebrafish). Lineage: Eukaryota; Metazoa; Chordata; Actinopteri; Cypriniformes; Danionidae. The record is from RNAcentral.
GUCUGCAGCUCGCUCUCUGCAACUCUCACAUGGUCGCCUAUUGAAGCUAAGCAGGGCUGAGUCUGGUCAGUAGCUGAAUUGGAGACCUCAUGGGAACACUGGGCUGCUGUUGUCA